RNAcentral lists this ribosomal RNA (820 nucleotides) under uncultured bacterium. RNAcentral describes it as "bacterial SSU rRNA". It matches the Rfam family "Bacterial small subunit ribosomal RNA", at positions 155 to 1001 of the family's 1533-position model. The record is from RNAcentral.
AACAAUUGCUAAAACUCUAUAUGCCGUGAGGUGAGAAAAUUAUAUUUGCCUAAAGAGGAGCUCGCGUCUGAUUAGCUAGUUGGUGGCGUAAAGGCCUACCAAGGCGACGAUCAGUAGCUGGUCUGAGUGGACGACCAGCCACACUGGAACUGAGACACGGUCCAGACUCCUACGGGAGGCAGCAGUUAGGAAUUUUCUGCAAUGGGCGAAAGCCUGACAGAGCAAUACCGCGUGAGGGAUGAAGGCCUACGGGUUGUAUACCUCUUUUCUCAAGGAGGAAGAUCUGACGUUAGUUGAGGAAUAAGCAUCGGCUAACCCUGUGCCAGCAGCCGCGGUAAUACAGGGGAUGCAAGUGUUAUCCGGAAUUAUUGGGCGUAAAGCGUCUGGAGGUUGAUAUUUAAGUCUUUUGUUAAAUCUAUGGGCUCAACCCGAAAACUGCAAAGGAAACUAUUUAUCUUGAGUAUGGUAGAGGUAAAGGGAAUUUCCAGUGGAGCGGUGAAAUGCGUAGAUAUUGGUAAGAACACCAACAGCGAAGGCACUUUACUGCGCCAGUACUGACACUCAGAGACGAAAGCUAGGGGAGCAAACGGGGAUUAGAUACCCCGGGUAGUCCUAGCUGUAAACGUUGGAUACUAGAUGUUGUGUGCUCUUUGGGCAUACAGUGUCGUAGCUAACGCGUUAAGUAUCCCGCCUGGGAAGUAUGCUCGCAAGAGUGAAAUUCAAAGGAGUUGACGGUGGCCCGCACAAGCGGUGGAGCAUGUGGUUUAAUUCGAUGCAACACGAAGAACCUUACAAGGACUUGACAUGAAGAGAAGUUUUC